This 4654-nucleotide long non-coding RNA is filed under the name Olea europaea subsp. europaea. Lineage: Eukaryota; Viridiplantae; Streptophyta; Magnoliopsida; Lamiales; Oleaceae. The record is from RNAcentral.
CUUUUAUAGGAUUUUUACAAACCACUCACACACACGUAACCCACCCCCGCCCCACUGCCCUCCGCGUGUGACUGGACAUGACAGGCUUAGCCAGAAUUAUUCUUUUAUCAUUUACCAUUUGCCAAAGCUGCUUCCAUUCAUUGCUCAAACAAGAAUCAAUCUCAUACCACUUCAAUAGUUUAAAAGAUGGCAGAAUUUGUUGGAAGCCGAUAAUACAGAAGCCAUAAUAACCAGAAUUGAACAUAAAUCCCGCAAAAUUGAAAGCUUACUCGGACAGUAUUUUUCUUGAUCAUUAUGCACUCUGAGAAAUUCUUCAUUUUUUCUUAACGGACGGAAACUGAUUACAAUUUUUAUUACAGGCAUAAACCCGUGAAGGCUUUAAAGACAGCCUUGGAAGGCUCCCCUCCCAAUACCAAAGACGAACGCUGUAAGUUCAGAUGUCAGUUUAUAUAUCUAUGUUUGGAUUUUUUAAUUGUUGAAAAUUCUGGGCUCUAUUUUCUUUGUUUUAUUUUGAUCUGAGGUCAAGGGAUGUUAAUUAUUUUCAUUUUUGUUUUUUGGGGUUUUUAAGUCUGCAAAUUGGAUAGUUGUGCAUAGAGCAAUAAUGGCAAUAAAAGGUGUGGAUAGCUUGUUCUCGUAUCUUGAUCCCCGAGUAUUACGUAUUCUGCAGAAGUAAGUUUGAACUGUCAUUUUGUUUUUGUUCUUUUGUUUUCUAUUUUAAUGAUGAAAUUGUGUGUUGCAAUUUGCAUUGUCAAAACAAAAAUGACUGGUCAUUGGCGUACAGAUUUAUUCCUAAAAAACUCACAAAGGCGUGGACCCACUUGAAUAAACAAUAUCAAAAAAUUAACAAUAAAGUUAUUUGUGACACCCCGGACGACACUCCCCUCACAAGAGAGGGGGGCCCAUACGUAAUAAAAUAAUUGUGGGCUCCUCUCUUGUUAGGGGAGUGUCAUCCGGGGUGUCAACCCCGGAUGUACAAAUAGUGAAGUCUAAAAAUUAACCCCCAUGGUGUCGGUAGGGGUUGUACACCAAUCAUAACUCUUGUCAUAAUUUUCUUGUCUACAAUUCUGUUUUUUUGCAACAGGAGAUUUCUGUAAAAUGUUUGGGUUUUUCCAGAAGCUGAUUUAAAAGAUCUGUUUUUUCUUCUGUAGUAAUAGAAAAUUUUGACUUUUUAUGAGGAAUUCUUAAGCAGUGGACUUUAUCCUUUUAAUGUUAAUUUUGCAAGAAGGAAGUUUAACAUGUUCAGCUUUUGCAAAAUAACAAUCGAGGCCCUAAAUUUCUCAAUAACAGAGUUUAUCCAUGGUAUAGGCUGUCAUUUGUUCUUGGAAGCUUUUAGUGUUGGACUGUCGCACUUGUGAAGUUGGAGACUAUUGAUUCAUUAGAAAAGUAUCUACUAUUGAUGCAGAAUGUAAAGCAAAAUGAGAACAAUAGAGAAGAAAUAGAGAGGAGAAGGAGAAGAGUCAAAAAGAAUAAAAUAGACAGAAAUUAAAGAGAGAAGAAGAAUUUGGAGUUUUAAUAAUCAAUAAUUUGAUCAUAUUGAAAUCCAAGUUCCCUUUAACAGGGUGAAGUGCUUAAGUCUUACUGAACCUUUAAGUUAUCAAAAUAUAAAAUCUUAGAUAAAUCAAAACUACAGAAACACGAUGUAAAUCAACCUCUACUUUAAAUCCUAUUUCUCCUAACUCAUAUCUUUAUUCCCCAUCACAACGUUUAAGUUGUUUGCGACCCAACAAAAAUCACUGGUUUGGAUACCCCCUCAUUGGGAGCAUGCUUGAAUACUCAUGUUAAUAAGCCUAUAGAAGAUUUGUUUUUCAUUAUUAUUUUCAAUACUAAACAAGUUCAAACCUCAAAGUGAAGACACAAAAAUGUUUUCUAACUUUAGCAUGCUACCUGCAGCCAAGGUAAAACGGGCAAAAACUGGUCUAUGGGUCAAGAAAAGGAAAGGAAAGGUCUUGCAACAUGACUAGGGUUUAACUUGGAAAAGGACCAAUAAAUUUUUUGAUGAGUGUGGGUGCAACCAUUACUUUUUCAAAAAUGGCCUAUCACUAUUAAAAUAUAGUAAUUCUUCUAAAAUUGAAAGGAUCAGGUUCUACACAACUUGCUUUAUUGGAGAUCUCAUAGAAAAUGUUACCACAUAGAAACCCUUUUACUUAAAGAUUUCAAAUUGUUCGUCCUAAAUUAGAAAUAGAAAAUGGAGAAAAGGUGAUUGUUGAUUUAAUGAACUUGUGAAACUCAUUGAUAAACGAAUAGAGUAAAGGAGAGGCUUGAACUUCUGGCGGUGACGUGUCAAGUAUGAUGUUCACUUUUCAUAAAAUUGAGCAGAAGGGGCCGUGAUGAAAAAAGGAUAUAUCAGCUGACCUUUGACUUCCACACGUGUUCUUUUUUGCAUAAUAUAUUGCAUGAUUUUAUUUCAUCGACGUUUACAGCUGGGAAGAUGUAAAGAAAACUGUUCCAUGUCAUAUCUAGCAUUUCUGAACAAGUGUGCCAAGGGUCACAAUAUUAUAUCAUUAUGUUCUGUUUCAUGGACACCACUCUUCAGUGCGAACAGGACAAGUAUCGCUGAAAGUGUUAUUUUUUUUUGUGAUUGUCAGUGUUGUUUCUAUUAUUUUUGUCAUUUUGGGGAUUUAAACAUAUGGCAGUUAGUUAUAGCUGCAAAUAGGGUAUCAAUCUCUUGGGUUCUGAAUUCUUAGAAAGAACCUAUAUUGAAUUGUAUACGGGAUCCGCUGCGUGCUGAUAUUUUGCACAGCUUGAAUAUAGUAUCUUAUUUACUUGAACCUCAUGAAGACUUUUCGAUAUAUAUGGCACAUUUUAUAUUGUUGAGAAACUGAAUGAUAGAUAAUCAUCUAGCAAAGAUGUGUAUUUAAAAUUUAAUUUGCAUUAUUGCAUCAAAUUAUAUUGUUACAUCGCAUGUACUAAGUCUCCAUAUUACCCAGUUGUACUUUUGAAAUGAAACUCUACCAGAAUCUCAUUUCUGAAAGAAAAACAAAAAGUUAUAUAGGGAUGAAUGACACCUUGAAUAGAGUAACAGAUGAGUUUGAGGGGUCGGGAAAGUCCUGUCUUGAUAUUUUGUCUGAGAAGUCUAUCUGUACUUGUAUGUAUACUUGGAUGUAUUUGUUGAAAAGGUAGAUAGAAUUUUAUUCUGUUUUGAAUUGAAUGUAAGAUCCUAAUUGUUAUUGUAUUGAAGACCUAAUAAACCAUAUUUGAUUUAAUUGUAGGGUCUUCAUUAUAGACACGUGUAUAUUGAAUAAAAUACAAGAUUUCUCUCUGAUUCUCUCUCUCUUCUCCUCUCUUCCCCCUUUCUUCUCUGAUUCUUCUCAGUUCUCAUACAGCUUGUUGCUUGUUUAGUUUGUUGUUAUGAUCAUGUGUUUUCAAAACUAUGAUGAAACUUAACUUUUCAAAAGAAAGAGUGAAGUGCAUUUCUUGUUUUGCCAUACGUUUGAUUAAAAAGAAUAAAGAGGGAGAAGUUUUAGGUUAGUGCAGUGUUUUUGUUUAUUUAUUCUUUUUCUUGAAGCAAAAUGAUAUGCCAUUUGCAGUUUUCAAUUCUCUCUCCCUUUUUGUAUCAACUCAUAAAGACAAAUGAAUUCGAUACGACCUCAUUGUAUUUUAUUACCCAUUCCCCAAUGUUAACCUCUGAUUUCCCUCAGAUGUGCUCCACAGAUAACUCAAACUUUUUGUUACCGCUACCUAUUUGGCACUGGCCUCAUUGCACUGACAUGAAUUUGUUGGAUGCCACUGACUUCCGUUCUCUCCCCUCCCCUUCCCUCACAUCAACCCCCACCCCUCUUCCUCUCUCUUAUUAUGCUCCUUCCAGAGACUAUAAUGUUCUUCCCGUCUCCUUUGAAACUUCGAAAUCCGAAAAUGUCCGAUUAUUUGUUCUGAUGCAGUUGUCAAACAGGGUUAUUCCAUGGGCUGAUUUGUAUAGUUAAUAAAACAUAAAAUCUACUAGCCAAUUAUUACAUCAUUCUUCAAGGACUUGGAAGCUUUUUAUUUUGAGGUCCACUUUGUCUUGUAAGAGGUCAAGAUUCCCCCUUUCUUGGAGAAGAAAAAGGAGGCACCUUGGGAACUAUAAUUCGAAUAGAGGACGCAAUGAUUAUCAGUAGAAUAUAACCAUAUGAGGUGUAAAAUAGAAUAUUCAUGUACUAUACUCUUGUUGAUUUGAGUUUGUAGGUCUUUUACGUCGUACCUUUCUGAUACGUUAAGCUCUUAUGGCAUAAUGAGCACGUCUAAUUAUUAACUGUGCUUCUAAAGCAUAAUGAUGCCGGCAGAAUGCUGUGUAAAUAACCCGAUGUUGGAAAUACCAGUUUUUUUAUUUGUAUUCUUGAUGAGCUCCGAUGUACAGUAUGCAUAUCUACCUGCUACAUGAUUGAUAGGUAUUUGUAUAGAGGCUUGUCUACUGGAGAUCGACCCACAUGCGACCAAUGCCUGCGAAUUCACGAGAAGCUGGCUGAGAGAGCUGGUUUGGGAUGCAUAUUACGAUCACUUGCAGACACAGUGAACACUGUUUGAUAACCAGUUUAUGAAAUGGAUCCCCAGUUGUUUAUUAUCCCCAUAGACUUGUACACAAAGUGGCACAAGGAACUUGAUUUUAAGCCAUGUCUCUCUCUUAAUUUAGCUAUGAAAUGAUGCUAUCUUUAGAGCCUGUUUGAUUCCAUUAAUUGUU